GAACACAAAAUGGCGACACGUGGUUAGCAUUCGUCGCCAACGAGAAAUUGGGGUCGGCCCGAAAGCUCUAGAAUGCACCCCUCUUCCUCCCCGGGGCCUUCCACCUCCGCGAGUUUUAUGACUUAAAAAAGCCCACAGGCUGGUCUGAAGGUCGGAGGCCUAAUUUUAACGCGUUUUCCUCCCUUUAAUUUGAAACGGGAACGCGAAUGACUGUAAAAUGUGGGCACAAUAUUUAAUCUCUCGCCUUUUUAAAGCUUAAUAGUGGAUAAUAGGGGGGCAGUAUCAAGGGAUAAUUUGGGUCCCCACAGUACCAAAGCAUUUAGAAACCUCUGUUUAAUUUAAGGAAUGAGAUAAGUUACUGCUUUUCUAGACUUCCUAGCAUGGGCUGUUGUGCUGGAGAGAACGAGAGCUACGAAGAGACUACAGUGCCUCUGACUUUUUCAUAGGACAGUUGGCCGAGGAAGACAAACAUAAAGAUGAAGUGCUUAAUUCAAGGUCACACAAUGUCGGGGAUGGACCUCCAGAUUUCCUUACUGGUGAGACGUGGUCUUGUAACACAGUGGUUAAGAAUGUGACUUUGGAGCCAGCCUGCUAGGGGCUGAAUUCUGACUCAGCCAUUUACUAACUGUGUGACCUUAGGUCACAGAAUUUUCCACACUCCUUGACAGAGGUGCUUAACCCUUAUCCAUCAGCAUUCUCAGACAGCACCUCCGGUUAGGGACAGUAUCUGACCGUCCGACAUCCCUGCAGCCCCCAUGUGUCACACAGACUCAGCCUCAGGUAGAUGGUUUCCGUAGAUGGUGGCUUUCUUUGGACCCUUGACAUCAACCAGUUACUAUUUGGGCCACACAUAACAAAUAGAAGCAGAGCAAGCCCUGGAACUCCUGCCUGACAGUGACACGACGACAGAAACAUCUUACCAGUCAGAGGACCAUGAGAAAUAGAUUCAAGGAGCAUUCCACGUGCAAGUGAGUCUUGGCCCCAUCUGCCUUUGGAUUUUAGCCGUGAACUGGAAGGUAUUGGAAAGAAGACCCUCAGAAAUAGCUUAAUCAAAAUCCCUGCGUCUGAACCAAGUGCCUUAUUUCUCUGUGGGCCUCAAGCUUCGCUGACAUCUGUGGAGCACACUGUCCUAACAGGAGUGCUGUCUGAUUUCCCAACGCUCUGCAAAACAAACAGCCUGGAAGGGUGGCUGGUGGAAGGUGGUUUUUAGAGAGAGACUUGUAGAUAACAGGAAAGUGAAGGCUGUAAGGAAGGUUGUAAUUAAACAGCACAUGGAAACACAA
This 1283-nucleotide long non-coding RNA is filed under the name Homo sapiens (human). RNAcentral's name for it is "PCBP1 antisense RNA 1". Lineage: Eukaryota; Metazoa; Chordata; Mammalia; Primates; Hominidae. The record is from RNAcentral.